RNAcentral lists this ribosomal RNA (253 nucleotides) under uncultured bacterium. RNAcentral's name for it is "partial 16S ribosomal RNA". It matches the Rfam family "Bacterial small subunit ribosomal RNA", at positions 524 to 776 of the family's 1533-position model. The record is from RNAcentral.
UACGAAGGGGGCUAGCGUUGCUCGGAAUCACUGGGCGUAAAGCGCACGUAGGCGGAUCUUUAAGUCAGGGGUGAAAUCCUGGAGCUCAACUCCAGAACUGCCUUUGAUACUGGGGAUCUCGAGUCCGGAAGAGGUGAGUGGAACUGCGAGUGUAGAGGUGAAAUUCGUAGAUAUUCGCAAGAACACCAGUGGCGAAGGCGGCUCACUGGCCCGGUACUGACGCUGAGGCACGAAAGCGUGGGGAGCAAACAGG